Molecule: ribosomal RNA, 572 nt
Filed under: Ascomycota sp. Mo9
Lineage: Eukaryota; Fungi; Ascomycota
Description: SSU rRNA
Rfam family: Eukaryotic small subunit ribosomal RNA
Source: RNAcentral
CUCCAAUAGCGUAUAUUAAAGUUGUUGCAGUUAAAAAGCUCGUAGUUGAACCUUGGGCCUGGCUGGCCGGUCCGCCUCACCGCGUGCACUGGUCCGGCCGGGCCUUUCCCUCUGGGGAACCGCAUGCCCUUCACUGGGGGUGUCGGGGAACCAGGACUUUUACUUUGGACAAAUUAUAUCGCUGAAAGAAGGCCUAUGCUCCAAUACAUUAUCAUGGAAUAAUAGAAUAGGACGUGUGGUUCUAUUUUGUUGGUUUUCUAGGACCGCCGUAAUGAUUAAUAGGGACAGUCGGGGGGCAUUCAGUAUUCAAUUGUCAGAGGUGAAAUUCUUGGAUUUAUUGAAGACUAACUACUGCGAAAGCAUUUGCCAAGGAUGUUUUCAUUAAUCAGGAACGAAAGUUAGGGGAUCGAAGACGAUCAGAUACCGUCGUAGUCUUAACCAUAAACUAUGCCGACUAGGGAUCGGACGAUGUUAUUUUUUGACUCGUUCGGCACCUUACACGAAAGUAAAGUUUCUGGGUUCUGGGGGGAGUAUGGUCGCAAGGGUGAAACUUAAAGAAAUUGACGGAAGGG